GCGGGCGUAGCUCAACGGCAGAGCACCAGCCUUCCAAGCUGGUGACGCGGGUUCGAUUCCCGUCGCCCGCUCCA
RNAcentral lists this transfer RNA (74 nucleotides) under Actinomycetes bacterium. RNAcentral's name for it is "Actinobacteria bacterium tRNA-Gly". It matches the Rfam family "tRNA". From Rfam's summary of the family: Transfer RNA (tRNA) molecules are approximately 80 nucleotides in length. Lineage: Bacteria; Bacillati; Actinomycetota; Actinomycetes. RNAcentral also lists the same sequence under 1 other name. The record is from RNAcentral.